GAAGAGCAAGAGUCAGUAUCUUUUUCAUAUCAGAAACCAUAAAGAUUACAAGGACUAAAUUACUCACCACUGGUCAAAAAACUGAUCCUACACACUAGGGACCUAGAAACCUUCUCCAGCCAUUAAUGGUCAUUGGAGGAUAUCAUCCAUCCACUUGGAAGAAGAUGGGAAUGCAAGGUACAAUUAAAAAAGAUAAGAACACCAGCUGUACGCAUUCUAAAAACAGAAAAUGGAACUAGCCGUUGCACAUUUGAACCUAACGGCUACUUGCUAAACAUAGCAAGUUCUUCAUCUUUUCGAUUUCAGCAUUCUCUUCACUUCUUUCUGCAGGAUUGUCAUCUGCAGUUUGAUAUUAAGCUAGUAUGCAGCUUAAAUCUCAACAGCCUCUCCUAAGCUGCUUACUGGCUUAACUCCAAGUCUUAAUCUCAACUGAUUAAAUCUAUCUUUUGGCAAAGCUUUUGUGAAUAUAUCUGCAAGUUGUUCUUCACUUCUGCAGAACUGCAACUCGAUCACCCCUUCUUGCAGAGCUUCCCUUAUGAAAUGAUACCGCCUGUUUAUGUGUCUAGUUCUCUGAUGAAAUACAGGAUUUUUGACCAUAGAAAUUGCUGACAUAUUAUCUCACAAAAUAAAGGUGUUGCCUCAGUUUGCAUUUCCCCAAAAUCAUCAAGAACGAAUCUCAACCAAAUUGACUGUGCAGUUGCCUCAGCUGCUGAAACAUACUCAGCUUCAGCGGUUGACAAUGCAACUGUGUUUUGUUUCACAGAAGCCCAAGAAAAUGCUCCACUGCCAAAGCUGAAUGCAUAACCUGAGGUGCUUCUGCUAUCAUCUUCACUGCCUGCCCAAUCUGCAUCACAGAAUCCAAUGAGGAUUGCAGAAUUAUCUUUCACAUACUCAAUGCCAUAGUUUAGGGUCCCUUGCACAUAUCUCAGUACUCUUCUUGCAACUCCCAAAUGCUUCUUAGUCGGACAACAAACCUUGAUAAACCUUGAUAACAACUUGCAGCAUACAUUAGAUCAGGUCUUGUUGCUGUUAAAUACAAUAGACUUCCCACUAUUUUCCUGUAAAAGUCCUUCGGCUAAUUGCACUCCAUCCACUUUUUUCUUUAGCUUUUCAAGUGGGCAAAGGGAUAGAAACUGGUUUGUUCAAUCUUCGAGCCAAAUUUCACAGUAAAGACUUAGCAUUACUUACUUUGGUGUAUAAACACGCCUUGAUCCCUAUUCCUUAUGCGUAUGUAAAGUAUUGGAAAUUUCAUACUAAUAUUCCCUUUGUAGAGAUGUUUCCGAGAUCAGACAUUUCAUUAUCUUCCAUAUCAUUCCUCUUGAAUUCACUGAGCAUUCUUGUCACUACUUCAGUAUAUACAAUGUCAUCAACAUUUUUUCUUACAAUUUAUCAACCAUUCAUCAAUCAGAUCUUGUGUGUGGCUCAUUGUGCUUCUUUUGAACUUACACAAAGAGAGAUAUGCAUCAAUCUCACGUCCAGGCUCUAGGUGCUUGUUUAAGUCCAUAUAAGGCCUUCCUUAACUUAUAGACCUUGUGAUCAGCAUGCCAAAACCCUCAGGCUGAAACAUCAUCAUACCACCUGCUCAAGCACACCAUUUAGGAACCCUGCUAUGACUGACCAACAUGAAACAACUUCCAACCCUUAGUUGCUGCAUAAGAGCAAAUGAGUGUUUCGAAUCUAUCUAACCUUGCCAACAAAGGUCAUUGUAGUUGCGUCUAUCCAGGUUUCUGUGCAUAACCUUUUGCCACAAGUGGCCUUGUGUUUUUGAACUGUUCCAUCCAGAUUUAGCUUUUAAAACAAGUUUUAACACACCCAGUUUCACCUAUAUUCAUUUAUCAUAGGCUAUCAACAGCUCCCAAGUAUUGUUCUUUUCAAUCAUUUCCAACUCUGCAUUCAUAGCCUCUGUGCCAGGCUAUUUCUGCUUUGCUGCUCAUCUUUGAUAACUCUCUGGUUUAUAAUGCACAUGUGACAGAACUUUGCAUAUAUCUUUCCGAAGUUUCAACUUCACUGGGUUGGAAGCUAGGUGUGGAGCCCGACUAUGACUUCCACCAUUAUCUUCAAACCAACUCAUCCACAAUAGUGUGUGAAUGGGAAUCUUCAGCAUUGUCAAACUGGAUUCAUCAUCGGUUUGUUCCUCUCUAGCUUCUUCUGUAGAGUUAUUUUUCCUUCAAGAUUAAGGGUAUUGAGAUCGAUUCUACUUGAUGAUCACUUUUCCAAUUCCAUGACUGGUUUUCACUGAACACACUUCUUGAGAGUACUAUUUUCCUUAGAUUGAGAUGAAUUUUCCACUUUAUAUUAUCCCUUUUCACAGCUUCCAUAUCCCAUGAAAACCCCUUUUCUGGAUUUCUCAUCAAAUUUGUGCCUCAGAUGUGAUGAGACAUGAGUAUAGCAGAUACACCCAAAUACCUUUCAGGUGCUUAAUUCCAGGCUUCCUGCCUUGUGAAUGCUUCAAAAGGUGUCUUAUCUAGGACAGUAUGUUGUAAAGCAUCUAUUUUGAAGGUAAGGUUACUUACAGCUGUACUUACACAGCAUCAUUCCAAAGACACAGGGAUUCCUUUUCUCAGUCAUCAUGGAUCUUGCCAUUUCAAAACUUCCUUCUCCUUUUUCCCAUUUCACAGCAAAUCUUUUUGAGGUGAAUAUGCAAUUGUCAGUUGCCUCUCCAUUCUAUGCUUGCACAGUAUUCAUAAAUUCAUUUGAGGUGUAUUCACCACCUCUAUCACUUCUUAGCUUCUUCAAACUGAACCACUUCAGUUUCAACAAAAACUUGAACUUUGAACACAUUGAAACUCACACAUCAAGAUUUGUUUCUGAGAAAGUAUACCCAACACAUUCUUGAGAAAUCAUCAAUGAAUGUGAUGAAGUACCUAUUCCCUCCAAUGGAUUCGUUUUGCAUAGGUCCACACAAAUCUGUAUGCACCAAUUCAAGUGGACAGCUUGCUCUCCACGUUUUUUCUUUGUCAAAAGGUUCUCUGUGGUGCUUGCCUGACACACAACCUUCACACACAUCUCUCAUUUCUGUCAAAGCAGGUAGUCCAAGUACCAUUUCCUUCUGCUGCAUCUUCUUCAUGCUAGUGAAGUUCAGAUGUCCAAGCCUUCUAUGCCAUAACCAUGAAUCUUCAACCAUAGAUGCUUUUCUUGCUGCAGGGGUUAUAGACUCUAGUGAAAGGGGAAAACAUCGAUUUCCUGCCAUGAUCACUUUUGCUACAACAUUGUUGAGCCUACUAUCAUCAAAGAUUACUGCCAUAUUACCCCCAAAUAGGACAUAGUAACCAUGCUCCAUCAUUUGGCCUACACUCAGCAAGUUUUCAUCCAAACCUGGAACCAACAACACUUCAUUUAUAUAUCUUUUCCCACGCUGAGUUUCAACCACUAAAGUGCCUUUUCCAGUUGCUUGUACAAGAUCACCUGUGCCCAUUUUAACUUUGCAGGUCACAGAUCUGUCAAUAUUUAUUAAAGCAGACUCUUGUGAUGUCAUAUGGUUGCUGCAAGCACUAUCCACAAACCACACACUUCUAUCUUGCAUAAUUGAUGAGUGACAAGCGUAGAACAUGGUUCCUGUAGUUACUUCUUCUUCCCUUGCACAGUGGGCAACUUGCUUGUGACUAUCACAGUCCUUUGCAAUAUGACCAAAACGAUUGCACUUUCCACAUUUGGGUUUUCCUUUGUAUCUCUGCCACACACCAAAAUGAUAUUUUUUUGACACACUUGACACUGUGGUUUCACAGAACUUUGACUACUGCUUCCUUGCUUGUUCUGUGAAUUGAAUCUGUUAUUCCAAUUUCCGCCAGAAUUGUUGUUCCAGUUCCCACUUGGAGACCAAUUUGAUCCCUUCUUGUUUUGUCCCUGCCACUUUUGAUUUUGCCUACUCUGUGAACCUUUGUAGGUACCAGUGACUUGAUUAUUUCCAAUUCUGAGACUACUAAAAGCCCUCUCAGUUCCUGUCAAUUUAUCCCUUUCAUCAUGUAAGUCCUCCCUUUUAUCAUAUACUUUGACAGAUGCAAUGACUUCUUCAACUCUAAUAGCAUCCAGAUCUCGAGUUUCCUCAAUAAUAGACACAAUGGAUUUAUACCUCCUACUUAGACUCAUCAAUAAUUUCUGCACAAUUCUUUGUUCAGUCACAUCUUCACCAAGAGAUUUCAGAUUGUUCACAAUUCCAAAAAACCUACCCAAAUAGUCAUCUAGGUUUUCACUAUCUGUCAUUCUCAUUUACUCAAAAUCAGCCCUAACUGCUUGAAGUUUUACAGCUCUUACCUUUUUAUCUCCUCUGAACUCUCUUCUCAGAAUGUCCCAAGCCCCUUUUACAGUCUUCUCAUUUCUGAUACGAGGAAAAAGCUCAUCUGUUAUAGCUCCUUGUAUGAGACUCAACGCCUUGGCAUUUUUGAUUCUGUCUUCUCUGGAGAUGGUGGGUGGUUCCACUGGAACAUGCUCAAUCUCACUUCCUUCCUCUCCAGAGACUUCUUCCUCGACGGAAAUCUGCUGCGGUUGCACUCCGAGUUCUACUACAUCCCAUAGGUCAUGCGCUAUGAGGAUAGUCUCCAUCUUGACAGCCCAAAAAUCGUAGUUUGCACCAUCAAACUGUGGAGUUCGUAAAUCUCCACCGGAAGAACUUGAUCCCACCAUUUUUCUUAGUGAGUGUCAGUGAAUCAACCAAUAAAAGGAACCUCCUUUAUCCCUUCUGAGAUUUUUUCAGGAAGAACCUCUCUCACAGCUUUACGCCCCUCUCUGGAAUCAGACCUAGUGCUCUGAUACCAUGUUUGAAAUGGUAUCAGGCAUGGUGUUUUAGUUGGUAUUCUUCGAUAGAAGUUGAAGUUUUUUUUUCUUAGAAAACAGAGUUUUUUCUUUUCAAGAGAGAGAGAGAGGAAGAGCAAGAGUCAGUAUCUUUUUCAUAUCAGAAACCAUAAAGAUUACAAGGACUAAAUUACUCACCACUGGUCAAAAAACUGAUCCUACACACUAGGGACCUAGAAACCUUCUCCGGCCAUUAAUGGUCAUUGGAGGAUAUCAUCCAUCCACUUGGAAGAAGAUGGGAAUGCAAGGUACAAUUAAAAAAGAUAAGAACACCAGCUGUACGCAUUCUAAAAACAGAAAAUGGAACUAGCCGUUGCACAUUUGAACCUAACGGCUACUUGCUAAACAUAGCAAGUUCUUCAUCUUUUCGAUUUCAGCAUUCUCUUCACUUCUUUCUGCAGGAUUGUCAUCUGCAGUUUGAUAUUAAGCUAGUAUGCAGCUUAAAUCUCAACAGCCACAUGGUAUCGUUCAAAAAAAAAAAAAAAAAGUCAAGCCACACGGUAGAAGACAACUAGACCAAGUCAAGUAAAAGUGUAAAACCUUAGAUAUGCAAUGAACUUGCAAAGUUCUUUUCUUGGACUUGUCAAGGUUUCACUUACUUAAAUACUAUUAACCUACAUUUACGGGGGUGGACCACGGCCCAACCUAUUUUACACAAUUUUUAACCUAUGUUUUUGUGGGGCACAUACAUAAUGUAUUUUAAUGAUUUGAAUUGUCUAUAUUUUAUAACAUCAUUUAUAGAUCAUUUGAAGAAAAAAGUUAUAUAAAUCCUAGAUCAUUAAAACAUUCAUUUGUAGUGCAGAAUGGACAAAUACUGUUACACAAAGAAACCCUAAACCUUUAAUCCAAUGGUCAUAUGGUUUCAAAUUUGGGCGAUUUAUGGUACAAAAUAGAUAUGACAUGUGAGGGAAGUCCU
Molecule: long non-coding RNA, 5704 nt
Filed under: Malus domestica (apple)
Lineage: Eukaryota; Viridiplantae; Streptophyta; Magnoliopsida; Rosales; Rosaceae
Description: long non-coding RNA (MDOM_LNC011637)
Source: RNAcentral